RNAcentral lists this transfer RNA (72 nucleotides) under Camelus bactrianus (Bactrian camel). It matches the Rfam family "tRNA". From Rfam's summary of the family: Transfer RNA (tRNA) molecules are approximately 80 nucleotides in length. Their secondary structure includes four short double-helical elements and three loops (D, anti-codon, and T loops). Further hydrogen bonds mediate the characteristic L-shaped molecular structure. tRNAs have two regions of fundamental functional importance: the anti-codon, which is responsible for specific mRNA codon recognition, and the 3' end, to which the tRNAs corresponding amino acid is attached (by aminoacyl-tRNA synthetases). tRNAs cope with the degeneracy of the genetic code in two manners: having more than one tRNA (with a specific anti-codon) for a particular amino acid; and 'wobble' base-pairing, i.e. permitting non-standard base-pairing at the 3rd anti-codon position. Lineage: Eukaryota; Metazoa; Chordata; Mammalia; Artiodactyla; Camelidae. The record is from Rfam by way of RNAcentral. RNAcentral also lists the same sequence under 2 other names.
GAGGGUAUGGCUCAGCGGUAGAGUGCAUUCUUAGCAUGCACGAGGUCCUGGGUUCAACCCCCAGUACCUCCA